Molecule: long non-coding RNA, 441 nt
Organism: Leptopilina heterotoma
Lineage: Eukaryota; Metazoa; Arthropoda; Insecta; Hymenoptera; Figitidae
Exons: 3
Source: RefSeq, a predicted model, not a curated record
GCUUCCGCUUCGCUCGUCGUUUCUCCUUCAAAUAAUGUGUUUUAUUGAUAAAUAUUCAUUAAUAUCAAUCGAAAUAUUGAAAAUUCAGUGCCGUGUAAUGUAAUUAUGCAAAAGUGAUUGGGAUUGACAACGAUUUAGAUGGAUGUGAAUAAUUUUCCGUCAAGUGAAAAAUCUCAUUGUCAGCGUUUACGAAUCUCUGUGCUUAAAAACUUCAGGAGAGUGCGAAGAAAUUGAAAAAGGACGACGGAUCAAUUUUCUACAGUUAAAUCUCCAAAUGAAUUUAUUUUGGCUUCUUGGUUCUUGAGGAUAAUUUGAAGAACAGGUGCAAACUUGGGGUAGAUUUGGAAAUAUGACAAUGAUGAUGACUUUUAGUUUGAUGAUCGACAAGAGUGCCGAGACAGCAGAAUGAAGAAUUCAAGGAACGCUUAUUAUACAACUUUA